GAAACCAACAGGGAUUGCCUCAGUAACGGCGAGUGAAGCGGCAACAGCUCAAAUUUGAAAUCUGGCCCUUUCAGGGUCCGAGUUGUAAUUUGUAGAGGAUGCUUCGGCGAGGGCUCCCGUCUAAGUUCCCUGGAACGGGACGUCAUAGAGGGUGAGAAUCCCGUAUGUGAUGGGUUGCUCGAGCCAUGUGAAGCUCCUUCGACGAGUCGAGUUGUUUGGGAAUGCAGCUCUAAAUGGGAGGUAAAUUUCUUCUAAAGCUAAAUACCGGCCAGAGACCGAUAGCGCACAAGUAGAGUGAUCGAAAGAUGAAAAGCACUUUGGAAAGAGAGUUAAAAAGUACGUGAAAUUGUUGAAAGGGAAGCGCUUGCAACCAGACUUGUCCGCAGUUGUUCAGCCGGUCUCCUGACCGGCGUACUCUUCUGCGGCCAGGCCAGCAUCAGUUCGGGCGGUUGGAUAAAGGCCUCGGGAAUGUGGCUCUCUUCGGGGAGUGUUAUAGCCCGGGGCGGAAUGCAGCCAGCCUGGACUGAGGAUCUCGCUUCGGCAAGGAUGCUGGCGUAAUGGUUGUAAGCGGCCCGUCUUGAAACACGGACCAAGGAGUCUAACAUCUAUGCGAGUGUUUGGGUGUCAAACCCAUACGCGUAAUGAAAGUGAACGGAGGUGGGAACCCGCAAGGGCGCACCAUCGACCGAUCCUGAUGUCUUCGGAUGGAUUUGAGUAAGAGCAUAGCUGUUGGGACCCGAAAGAUGGUGAACUAUGCCUGAAUAGGGUGAAGCCAGAGGAAACUCUGGUGGAGGCUCGCAGCGGUUCUGACGUGCAAAUCGAUCGUCAAAUUUGGGUAUAGGGGCGAAAGACUAAUCGAACCAUGUAGCCCUU
This 873-nucleotide ribosomal RNA is filed under the name Aplosporella prunicola. Its description in RNAcentral is "partial large subunit ribosomal RNA". It matches the Rfam family "Eukaryotic large subunit ribosomal RNA", at positions 61 to 952 of the family's 3401-position model. Lineage: Eukaryota; Fungi; Ascomycota; Dothideomycetes; Botryosphaeriales; Aplosporellaceae. The record is from RNAcentral.